AGAGCGAACGCUGGCGGCAGGCCUAACACAUGCAAGUCGAGCGCCCCGCAAGGGGAGCGGCAGACGGGAGAGUAACACGUGGGAACGUACCCUUCAGUACGGAACAACCAAGGGAAACUUUGGCUAAUACCGUAUACGUCCGUAAGGAGAAAGAUUUAUCGCUGAAGGAUCGGCCCGCGUCUGAUUAGCUUGUUGGUGAGGUAACGGCUCACCAAGGCUACGAUCAGUAGCUGGUCUGAGAGGAUGAUCAGCCUCACUGGGACUGAGACACGGCCCAGACUCCUACGGGAGGCAGCAGUGGGGAAUAUUGGACAAUGGGCGCAAGCCUGAUCCAGCCAUGCCGCGUGGGUGAUGGAAGGCCCUAGGGUUGUAAAGCCCUUUCGGCGGGGAAGAUAAGUGACGGUACCGCAGAAGAAGCCCGGCUAACUCGUGCCAGCAGCCGC
This 443-nucleotide ribosomal RNA is filed under the name uncultured bacterium. RNAcentral's name for it is "SSU rRNA". It matches the Rfam family "Bacterial small subunit ribosomal RNA", at positions 26 to 518 of the family's 1533-position model. The record is from RNAcentral.